UGGGGGAAUUUUGGACAAUGGGCGAAAGCCUGAUCCAGCAAUGCCGCGUGUGUGAAGAAGGCCUUCGGGUUGUAAAGCACUUUUGUCCGGAAAGAAAUCCUUGGCUCUAAUACAGUCGGGGGAUGACGGUACCGGAAGAAUAAGCACCGGCUAACUACGUGCCAGCAGCCGCGGUAAUACGUAGGGUGCAAGCGUUAAUCGGAAUUACUGGGCGUAAAGCGUGCGCAGGCGGUUUGCUAAGACCGAUGUGAAAUCCCCGGGCUCAACCUGGGAACUGCAUUGGUGACUGGCAGGCUAGAGUAUGGCAGAGGGGGGUAGAAUUCCACGUGUAGCAGUGAAAUGCGUAGAGAUGUGGAGGAAUACCGAUGGCGAAGGCAGCCCCCUGGGCCAAUACUGACGCUCAUGCACGAAAGCGUGGGGGAGCAAACAGGAUUAGAUACCCCUGGUAGUCCACGCCCUAAACGAUGUCAACUAGUUGUUGGGGAUUCAUUUCCUUAGUAACGUAGCUAACGCGUGAAGUUGACCGCCU
Molecule: ribosomal RNA, 529 nt
Filed under: uncultured bacterium
Lineage: Bacteria
Description: partial 16S ribosomal RNA
Rfam family: Bacterial small subunit ribosomal RNA
Source: RNAcentral